UACGAGUGCCCCAAGCGUUAUCCGGAUUUAUUGGGCGUAAAGCGUACGUAGGUGGUUUAUCGCAUCUCCUGUUAAAUCCCGAGGCUCAACCUCGGGGCUGCGGGAGAGAUGGCUAAACUAGAGACCGGGAAAGGUAAGUGGAAUUGCUGGUGUAGGGGUUAAAUCCGUUAAUAUCAGCAAGAACACCAAAAGUGAAGACAGCUUACUGGAACGGUUCUGACACUAAGGUACGAAAGCGUGGGGAG
RNAcentral lists this ribosomal RNA (245 nucleotides) under uncultured bacterium. Its description in RNAcentral is "partial 16S ribosomal RNA". It matches the Rfam family "Bacterial small subunit ribosomal RNA", at positions 524 to 768 of the family's 1533-position model. The record is from RNAcentral.